Molecule: long non-coding RNA, 1073 nt
Organism: Pollicipes pollicipes
Lineage: Eukaryota; Metazoa; Arthropoda; Thecostraca; Pollicipedomorpha; Pollicipedidae
Exons: 4
Source: RefSeq, a predicted model, not a curated record
GUCGGGGUGGAUCCAGCGGGGUCGGGCAGACGUUUCCCCCACUUGUUUCUAUGAGAAACAAAUAGGUACACACGGGGCUCCAACAAGAGGGCAUGGCCAGGAACAGAAAUGACUCCAGUGGAAGUGGAGGUGGACAUUUUGUCCCUAUUGAUUCAUACAGGAAGCAAAUAGGAAGGCAGAACUCCAAGAAUGCAAGAGAAGACAUCAAGCGUGCAAAAUUGUCACACCAGAAAAAAGAAAAUGCUACUCAAACAUAUAAGGACGUCUUUUCGAUGGUGUUCGGCCUGUUCAUCAUGGUGGUAUCGGUUUAUGCGCUAUUCUACGCUCUUCUUUCCAAGUAAAAUUUGGUUGCGUGGUGUCUGCUUUGGCGGCUCGGGAAAUGCAUUGAGUUUGUGCAACGCCCAUGAAAAGCGGGUUUUGGUCAGUUUGUUGUUUCUUGGCGGUUCAGAGAUGGGGCGUUUUGAAGGUGUUGCUUGUUCGCGGACCGAUGGUGGGAUGAUUCCCUGUGCUACAAAAAUAGAAGGUAUGUGGAUGGAAUGUCCACCAGAUGCGUGUGUCUGAUGUCUAAUGCCCAAUAGGCAUCAAACUGGCUAAAUAUCGACUGUGAUGCUAACGAGCCUAUGCCAGCUUGUAAAUCCAUCAGCCUCCUGAGCGUGGGGCAAUAUUGUAACAGGCUGGUACAACAUUGGGUCCAUUGAUGUGUUGUGCACUUGCGCACUGGUCUCGAUGUCAAGUCUUUUUGAAUGUUUGUGUACCUGUGCAUUGGCUUAUUUUCUACUGGUUAUGAUUAGUGAUAUUACAAGGGGCUGUUUGGUUUGCUUGCUUAAACAAGCGCUCCGAAGAAUGUAGUCAUUGACCCAAGCUUGUCGGAGCAAACAUUGUAUCUAACUACUCAUUGUGACAUUAAUGUUAUCGCAGAUCUUGUAAACUUUGUAGAGGGGCAUUCCGCUAUAGGGUAAUUAAUUUUGUGAUAUUUUGGUUUAUGCUGUGUUGCUGUUCUUAUGCGACUGGCUUCCGCUCAUCUGUGCAUUGCUGAGUUUAAUAAAACAUCAACGCAACGCACGUUGCAUAAC